CUACAUGGACAUCAAGAAGUCUAUGCUUUAAUGGUUCUGUCAGGUCUGAUGUGUGACUCUUUAUUCUUCCAACCGAGAUUGGCUACAUGGACAUCAAGAAGUCUAUACCUUAACAAAUCGCUUGUUUACGAGAACUAGUUAAUGGUAUGAUUAAAUGGAUGAUAAGUAGGAUGAUAGGUAAGAUUUUUUUCCUUAGUCAUUAUACCAAGAGGAAAUAGUACUAUCAAAAGAGAAUGGAAGGAGUAGUAAUUUGGAAACCCA
RNAcentral lists this long non-coding RNA (261 nucleotides) under Setaria viridis. RNAcentral describes it as "long non-coding RNA (SVIR_LNC009656)". Lineage: Eukaryota; Viridiplantae; Streptophyta; Magnoliopsida; Poales; Poaceae. The record is from RNAcentral.